This 424-nucleotide ribosomal RNA is filed under the name uncultured Flavobacterium sp. RNAcentral's name for it is "bacterial SSU rRNA". It matches the Rfam family "Bacterial small subunit ribosomal RNA", at positions 355 to 776 of the family's 1533-position model. The record is from RNAcentral. Lineage: Bacteria; Pseudomonadati; Bacteroidota; Flavobacteriia; Flavobacteriales; Flavobacteriaceae.
UGAGGAAUAUUGGUCAAUGGGCGCAAGCCUGAACCAGCCAUGCCGCGUGCAGGAUGACGGUCCUAUGGAUUGUAAACUGCUUUUGUACGGGAAGAAACACUCCUUCGUGAAGGAGCUUGACGGUACCGUAAGAAUAAGGAUCGGCUAACUCCGUGCCAGCAGCCGCGGUAAUACGGAGGAUCCAAGCGUUAUCCGGAAUCAUUGGGUUUAAAGGGUCCGUAGGCGGUCUUGUAAGUCAGUGGUGAAAGCCCAUCGCUCAACGGUGGAACGGCCAUUGAUACUGCAGGACUUGAAUUAUUGGGAAGUAACUAGAAUAUGUAGUGUAGCGGUGAAAUGCUUAGAGAUUACAUGGAAUACCAAUUGCGAAGGCAGGUUACUACCAAUUGAUUGACGCUGAUGGACGAAAGCGUGGGUAGCGAACAGG